UACGAGAGGCCCAAACGUUUAUUCGGAAUUACUGGGCUUAAAGAGUUCGUAGGCGGCAUGAAAAGUAGGGUGUGAAAGCCCUCGGCUCAACCGAGGAAUUGCGCUCUAAACUGUCGUGCUAGAGGAACCUAGAGGUGAGCAGAACUGAUGGUGGAGCGGUGAAAUGCGUUGAUAUCAUCAGGAAUACCGGAGGCGAAGGCGGCUCACUGGGGGUUUUCUGACGCUGAGGAACGAAAGCCAGGGGAGCGAACGGG
Molecule: ribosomal RNA, 254 nt
Filed under: uncultured bacterium
Lineage: Bacteria
Description: partial 16S ribosomal RNA
Rfam family: Bacterial small subunit ribosomal RNA
Source: RNAcentral